Molecule: ribosomal RNA, 586 nt
Filed under: uncultured bacterium
Lineage: Bacteria
Description: bacterial SSU rRNA
Rfam family: Bacterial small subunit ribosomal RNA
Source: RNAcentral
CCUACGGGAGGCAGCAGUGGGGAAUUUUGGACAAUGGGCGCAAGCCUGAUCCAGCAAUGCCGCGUGAGUGAAGAAGGCCUUCGGGUUGUAAAGCUCUUUUGUCAGGGAAGAAACGGUGGAGGUUAAUACCUUCUGCUAAUGACGGUACCUGAAGAAUAAGCACCGGCUAACUACGUGCCAGCAGCCGCGGUAAUACGUAGGGUGCAAGCGUUAAUCGGAAUUACUGGGCGUAAAGCGUGCGCAGGCGGUUGUGCAAGACAGAUGUGAAAUCCCCGGGCUCAACCUGGGAAUUGCAUUUGUGACUGCACGGCUAGAGUGUGUCAGAGGGGGGUAGAAUUCCACGUGUAGCAGUGAAAUGCGUAGAGAUGUGGAGGAAUACCGAUGGCGAAGGCAGCCCCCUGGGAUAACACUGACGCUCAUGCACGAAAGCGUGGGGAGCAAACAGGAUUAGAUACCCUGGUAGUCCACGCCCUAAACGAUGUCUACUAGUUGUCGGGUCUUAAUUGACUUGGUAACGCAGCUAACGCGUGAAGUAGACCGCCUGGGGAGUACGGUCGCAAGAUUAAAACUCAAAUGAAAUUGACGG